Molecule: ribosomal RNA, 1348 nt
Filed under: uncultured bacterium
Lineage: Bacteria
Description: bacterial SSU rRNA
Rfam family: Bacterial small subunit ribosomal RNA
Source: RNAcentral
GACGAACGCUGGCGGCGUGCUUAACACAUGCAAGUCGAACCGAAAGGCCCUGCUUUUGUGGGGUGCUCCAGUGGCGAACGGGUGAAUAACACGUGAGUAACCUGCCCUUGACUUUGGUAUAACUUCAGGAAACUGGGGCUAAUACCCGAUAGUAUCUCCUGCUGCAUGGGGGGGGUGGGAAAAUUUCUGCGGAUGGGGAUGGACUCGCCUCUUAUCCUCUCGUUGGUGGGGUAGUGGCUUACCAAGGCUUUUACAGUUAGUCGGCCUGAUAGGGUGACGGCCCACAUUGUGACUGAUAUACUGCCCAGACUCCUACGGGAGGAAUCAUCUGGGGAAUAUUGCACAACGGGCGGAAGCCUCAUGCUGCAACGCCCCGUGCGGGAUGACGGCCUUCCUGAUGUAAUCCGCUUCCUCCUGUAACGAAGCAUGGUUGACGGCAAUGCGUAAAAAAGAACCGCCUGAUUACUUGCCUGCAGCCGCCGCCGAUCCAUACGGUGGAAGCGUAGUCCGGCUUUCUUGAUCGCCAAGGGCGCAUAUGUAGCUGAUCGCUUCCGCACUGAAAUCUUGGGGCUUAACCCUGAGCGUGCUUUCGAUACGGGUUGACUUGAGGAAGGUAGGGGAGAAUGGAAUUCCUGGUGGAGCGGUGGAAUGCGCAGAUAUCAGGAGGAACACCAGUGGCGAAGGCGGUUCUCUAGGCCUUUCCUGACGCUGAGGAGCGAAAGCGUGGGGAGCGAACAGGCUUAGAUACCCUGGUAGUCCACGCUGUAAACGGUGGGUACUAGGUGUGGGGUCCAUUCCACGGGUUCCGUGCCGUAGCUAACGCUUUAAGUACCCCGCCUGGGGAGUACGGCCGCAAGGCUAAAACUCAAAGGAAUUGACGGGGCCCCGCACAAGCGGCGGAGCAUGCGGAUUAAUUCGAUGCAACGCGUAGAACCUUACCUGGGUUUGACAUGGAUCGGAAGUGCUCAGAGAUGGGUGUGCCUCUUUUGGGGUCGGUUCACAGGUGGUGCAUGGCUGUCGUCAGCUCGUGUCGUGAGAUGUUGGGUUAAGUCCCGCAACGAGCGCAACCCUUGUUCACUGUUGCCAGCACGUUAUGGUGGGGACUCAGUGGAGACCGCCGGGGUCAACUCGGAGGAAGGUGGGGAUGACGUCAAGUCAUCAUGCCCCUUAUGUCCAGGGCUUCACGCAUGCUACAAUGGCUGGUACAGAGAGUGGCGAGCCUGUAAGGGUGAGCGAAUCUCGGAAAGCCGGUCUCAGUUCGGAUUGGGGUCUGCAACUCGACCUCAUGAAGUCGGAGUCGCUAGUAAUCGCAGAUCAGCAACGCUGCGGUGAAUACGUUCCCGGGGCU